RNAcentral lists this ribosomal RNA (253 nucleotides) under uncultured bacterium. Its description in RNAcentral is "partial 16S ribosomal RNA". It matches the Rfam family "Bacterial small subunit ribosomal RNA", at positions 524 to 776 of the family's 1533-position model. The record is from RNAcentral.
GACGUAGGGCGCGAGCGUUGUCCGGAUUUAUUGGGCGUAAAGAGCUCGUAGGCGGUUUGUUGCGUCGGCUGUGAAAACCUGAGGCUCAACCUCAGGCCUGCAGUCGAUACGAGCAGACUAGAGUGUUGCAGGGGAGACUGGAAUUCCUGGUGUAGCGGUGGAAUGCGCAGAUAUCAGGAGGAACACCGGUGGCGAAGGCGGGUCUCUGGGCAGUAACUGACGCUGAGGAGCGAAAGCGUGGGGAGCGAACAGG